GGCAGAAUAGUGCAUUGGAUUUAAACCCCAAAUAUAAAGAUUUCUUU
RNAcentral lists this transfer RNA (47 nucleotides) under Lamiinae sp. GENSP02. RNAcentral's name for it is "partial tRNA-Leu". Lineage: Eukaryota; Metazoa; Arthropoda; Insecta; Coleoptera; Cerambycidae. The record is from RNAcentral.